RNAcentral lists this ribosomal RNA (570 nucleotides) under uncultured bacterium. Its description in RNAcentral is "bacterial SSU rRNA". It matches the Rfam family "Bacterial small subunit ribosomal RNA", at positions 240 to 807 of the family's 1533-position model. The record is from RNAcentral.
AUUAGCUAGUUGGUGAGGUAACGGCUCACCAAGGCAACGAUGUCUAGGGGUCCUGAGAGGGUUAUCCCCCACACUGGUACUGAGACACGGACCAGACUCCUACGGGAGGCAGCAGUAAGGAAUAUUGGUCAAUGGGCGCAAGCCUGAACCAGCCAUGCCGCGUGCAGGAAGACGGCCCUAUGGGUUGUAAACUGCUUUUGUCAGGGAAUAAACCUAUCUACGAGUAGAUAGCUGAAGGUACCUGAAGAAUAAGCAUCGGCUAACUCCGUGCCAGCAGCCGCGGUAAUACGGAGGAUGCAAGCGUUAUCCGGAUUCAUUGGGUUUAAAGGGUGCGCAGGCUGAUUAUUAAGUCAGGGGUGAAAUCUCUCGGCUCAACCGAGAAACUGCCUUUGAUACUGAUAGUCUAGAGUAUAGUUGAAGUUGGCGGAAUGUGUCAUGUAGCGGUGAAAUGCUUAGAUAUGACACAGAACACCGAUCGCGAAGGCAGCUAGCUAAGCUAUAACUGACGCUCAUGCACGAAAGCGUGGGGAUCAAACAGGAUUAGAUACCCUGGUAGUCCACGCUGUAAAC